AGUGAACGCUGGCGGUAGGCCUAACACAUGCAAGUCGAACGGCAGCACAGUAAGAGCUUGCUCUUACGGGUGGCGAGUGGCGGACGGGUGAGGUAUACAUCGGAAUCUACUUUUUCGUGUGGGUUAACGAAGGGAAACUUACGCUAAUACCGCAUACGACCUACGGGUGAAAGCAGGGGAUCUUCGGACCUUGCGCGAUUGAAUGAGCCGAUGUCGGAUUAGCUAGUUGGCGGGGUAAAGGCCCACCAAGGCGACGAUCCGUAGCUGGUCUGAGAGGAUGAUCAGCCACACUGGAACUGAGACACGGUCCAGACUCCUACGGGAGGCAGCAGUGGGGAAUAUUGGACAAUGGGCGCAAGCCUGAUCCAGCCAUACCGCGUGGGUGAAGAAGGCCUUCGGGUUGUAAAGCCCUUUUGUUGGGAAAGAAAAGCAGCAGGUUAAUACCCCGCUGUUCUGACGGUACCCAAAGAAUAAGCACCGGCUAACUUCGUG
This 492-nucleotide ribosomal RNA is filed under the name uncultured bacterium. RNAcentral's name for it is "partial 16S ribosomal RNA". It matches the Rfam family "Bacterial small subunit ribosomal RNA", at positions 29 to 507 of the family's 1533-position model. The record is from RNAcentral.